Molecule: ribosomal RNA, 460 nt
Filed under: uncultured bacterium
Lineage: Bacteria
Description: partial 16S ribosomal RNA
Rfam family: Bacterial small subunit ribosomal RNA
Source: RNAcentral
CCUACGGGUGGCAGCAGUGAGGAAUAUUGGUCAAUGGGCGUAAGCCUGAACCAGCCAAGUCGCGUGAGGGAUGAAGGUUCUAUGGAUCGUAAACCUCUUUUAUAAGGGAAUAAAGUGCGGGUCGUGUCCCGUUUUGCAUGUACCUUCUGAAUAAGGAUCGGCUAACUCCGUGCCAGCAGCCGCGGUAAUACGGAGGUUCCGAGCGUUAUCCGGAUUUAUUGGGUUUAAGGGGUGCGUAGGCGGCCUUUUAAGUCAGCGGUGAAAGUCUGUGGCUCAACCAUGGAAGUGCCGUUGAAACUGGGAGGCUUGAGUAUGUUUGAGGCAGGCGGAAUGCGUGGUGUAGCGGUGAAAUGCUUAGAUAUCACGCAGAACCCCGAUUGCGAAGGCAGCCUGCCAAGCCAUGACUGACGCUGAGGCUCGAAAGCGUGGGGAGCAAACAGGAUUAGAUACCCUAGUAGUC